RNAcentral lists this ribosomal RNA (263 nucleotides) under uncultured bacterium. RNAcentral's name for it is "partial 16S ribosomal RNA". It matches the Rfam family "Bacterial small subunit ribosomal RNA", at positions 91 to 353 of the family's 1533-position model. The record is from RNAcentral.
CGGACCGGCGGACGGGUGCGUAACGCGUAUGCAACCUGCCUGACACAGGGGGAUAAUCCGAAGAAAUUUGGUCUAAUACCCCAUAAUACCGAUAUAGGCAUCUAUGUUGGUUGAAAGCUUUGGUGGUGUCAGAUGGGCAUGCGUUGUAUUAGCUAGUUGGUGAGGUAACGGCUCACCAAGGCGACGAUACAUAAGGGGACUGAGAGGUUAACCCCCCACACUGGUACUGAGACACGGACCAGACUCCUACGGGAGGCAGCAUG